UGUCAAAUGUAUGAAAUAUUUAAUAAAUUGUAUUAUAAAAUACAUGAUAUUAUGCCUUUUUAGUAUAACCAAUUCAAAUCUUUAAUCUUUCUAAAUGUAACGUGAUGAAAACGCUAUAAAAGCACUACACUAAAGGGAAACAUAGGGGGAACUGAGUUCGACACAACACCGGCAUUUCUGCUUGUUUGUACCCUGAGGUAAGUAAACUUUCUACAUUUUUGAAACGAUAUUACUGAAAUAUUUAGUAUAAUUAGUUAAUAUUUAUUUUGUUAGAGUAGGUAUUGUGCUAAAUAGUGAUACUAGCUACAUUUAUAAUAUUUACCUCAGUUAAAAAAUACUGCUGGUAACGUUAAAGCACUGACGGGCUUCGUCAACCGUCAGUUAUAAAAGCUCUGUUAAAUACAUUUUGUUCCGGGUUUUAAUGAAUUACGUUACAGUCCUGCUUUAUUUCUUUGUCAUUUUAAAUUAAAUUGCCAAGCACAAUAAGACAGCUGUGUUGUAAGGAGACGAAAUUCGAGACAGGGGUGUUAUUUCAAUGAAGCGCGUGGUCAAAGGAACCGGGUGGAAGACGGUGGAAGGGAAAUUAUAUGUAAAUGUUUGUCGCAGUUUUACACAUAUUCCAUAACCAUGGUUAAUAAAUGGUCAGACACGUCACUGGCUUUAAAAUAUAAACCCCAUUGAUGCAAAAAGAUGCUGCAUGGAAUGACAAUGUGGUUACAGACUUGGUGAAGAACAUGGAAACAUCUCUUAAUAAAAUGGCCCCAAACAUCAUCAGGAGUGCAAAAGAAGGAAGUAAAAAACAUCUCUAUGCCAAUCUCAUUGGAGAGGAAACCACAGAAGGUCUGGUGAGGAAUGCUGCACUUAUGUUAUUGCAAGCAUUAUUUCAAGAAAAUCCCAGCUUCCUUGACUGUGUAAAUAGUGAACCCAAAAGUCCCACACCAACCAUAGUGUUCAACGGCUCUCCUGAUCUUCUCAAAUCUGAAAGUAUCAACUUUAUAAUGGACAAUGUGAACUUAAUAUGUGGAAGACAUUGACAUCACAGGCUGUGGAAUGACUGUGUCACAGGUCGGAGAAGCGGACCAGAGAAGCGGACCGCCCCUGUCUCGAGGAGGUCCCAAAGCACCCCAAUGACCAGACAAACCAGAGAUAAGUAAAAUAUAGAAAUAGAAGCUUUAUUUAAAUUAUUUAAAACUAAAGUGGGGAAUGGGAAAGGGAAUCUAAAAAUCUCGCUUCUCGUCCUCAGGGGGAGUAUUACGGGGCCAGGGACGUUGGAGGGGUUUCCACGUGACUCCAGCUGGAACACCGCUACAGAGCGUAUCUGGGUGGGUUGGGCACACACCGUCGCGGCGGCCCCUGAUGGCAUCCACAAAGGUCCAAGACCCUCCUAAGCUCCCAGCCGUAGCAGAACUACGUAUUUCAGCACCCGAACGACUAACAACCCAGCCGGCAUCUGCAGCAAAUAUCCAACGCAAUCAAACUUCACUCUGACAAGUAACUUCCUAUACACAACCACGCCGUCCUUUCGCCCGGACCAGCCCCGCACUCUUUCCGCCCACUACCUAGCGGUCGCCGGAUCAGCAGAGCCUGUGGACUCUUCGGAGGCUGGUCUUCGUUGUGCUGCCCAAGGCGGAAGUUGACUCGCACGAAAAUAGACCCUUCCGGUAACUUCUACCUUCUCUCUUUAUAUCCUCCUCCAUGGCGUGGCUCGCCCAACCAUCGCUCGCCACGUCACUCACACAGCUGUGCCUUGUUUCAGCAAGUGCCGGUGUCUGUACAAACCGGUCCGGGUGGAGCCUCUUCACUCUCCUUUUGGUUCCGCCCCGCAUAGUCACUCCGUGACAACUGUUUGCGUUUUUUUUUCUCCUCAAUGUUCAAUACCCUUUUGCCAUUAAGCAUACAGUGACUUUAAUUUAUAAAAUAUAUGCUUAAGUUUUAAUACCUGUACAAAACAAAUGUACAAUCAACUUGUGUAAAUUUUAAUAAAAAUUUAAGCUUUAAUUGCUUGUUCAUGUUAGUUCAGAGUGCAUUAACUAAUGUUAACAAGAUUUUAAUAAAGUAAUUGUUGAAAUUAACAUUAACAAAGAUUAAUAAAGGCUGUAUAAGUGCAGUUCAUUAUUAGUUCAUGUUAACUAAUGUAGCUAACUAAUGUUAACUAAUGAACCUUAUUGUAAAGUGUUACCGUGAUUUCUUUUCAUCAUUUCAGACACAUGUAAAAGUUACUAAAAAUUAGUACUGCAUAUACUGUACAGUAUCUAUGCGUAAGGGAAAUAACUUGAACAAAAUUUUUAAUGUAUAGUGUAAUUAAGAGUUGCUGUUUAAUACAGAGAUGCAAUUUAUUUAUAUAUAUUAUUUAGAUAUAAACGUAUGUAUGUUUAUUAAAAAGUGAAAAUGCUUAAUGGAAAUAAUUAAAUAACUAAAUGGUUGAAUGUAAUGAGACAUUUUAAAUGUAAACUAAAGUUUUGCUGUCUAAUACAGAAUAAAGAGAUGUGAUUUUAA
Molecule: non-coding RNA, 2496 nt
Organism: Misgurnus anguillicaudatus (oriental weatherfish)
Lineage: Eukaryota; Metazoa; Chordata; Actinopteri; Cypriniformes; Cobitidae
Source: RefSeq, a predicted model, not a curated record